CCUACGGGUUGCACCAGUGGGGAAUAUUGCACAAUGGGCGCAAGCCUGAUGCAGCCAUGCCGCGUGUAUGAAGAAGGCCUUAGGGUUGUAAAGUACUUUCAGUUGGGAGGAAGGCGUUGAUGCUAAUAUCAUCAACGAUUGACGUUACCAACAGAAGAAGCACCGGCUAACUCCGUGCCAGCAGCCGCGGUAAUACGGAGGGUGCAAGCGUUAAUCGGAAUUACUGGGCGUAAAGCGCACGCAGGCGGUCUGUCAAGUCGGAUGUGAAAUCCCCGGGCUCAACCUGGGAACUGCAUUCGAAACUGGCAGGCUAGAGUCUUGUAGAGGGGGGUAGAAUUCCAGGUGUAGCGGUGAAAUGCGUAGAGAUCUGGAGGAAUACCGGUGGCGAAGGCGGCCCCCUGGACAAAGACUGACGCUCAGGUGCGAAAGCGUGGGGAGCAAACAGGAUUAGAUACCCGUGUAGUC
RNAcentral lists this ribosomal RNA (465 nucleotides) under uncultured bacterium. Its description in RNAcentral is "bacterial SSU rRNA". It matches the Rfam family "Bacterial small subunit ribosomal RNA", at positions 338 to 795 of the family's 1533-position model. The record is from RNAcentral.